This 460-nucleotide ribosomal RNA is filed under the name uncultured bacterium. Its description in RNAcentral is "partial 16S ribosomal RNA". It matches the Rfam family "Bacterial small subunit ribosomal RNA", at positions 338 to 795 of the family's 1533-position model. The record is from RNAcentral.
CCUACGGGUGGCAGCAGUGAGGAAUAUUGGUCAAUGGACGAGAGUCUGAACCAGCCAAGUAGCGUGAAGGAUGACUGCCCUAUGGGUUGUAAACUUCUUUUAUAUGGGAAUAAAAUGUUCCACGUGUGGGAUUUUGUAUGUACCAUAUGAUUCAGGAUCGGCUAACUCCGUGCCAGCAGCCGCGGUAAUACGGAGGAUCCGAGCGUUAUCCGGAUUUAUUGGGUUUAAAGGGAGCGUAGGUGGAUUGUUAAGUCAGUUGUGAAAGUUUGCGGCUCAACCGUAAAAUUGCAGUUGAAACUGGCAGUCUUGAGUACAGUAGAGGUGGGCGGAAUUCGUGGUGUAGCGGUGAAAUGCUUAGAUAUCACGAAGAACUCCGAUUGCGAAGGCAGUUCACUGGACUGCAACUGACACUGAGGCUCGAAAGUGUGGGUAUCAAACAGGAUUAGAUACCCCUGUAGUC